RNAcentral lists this ribosomal RNA (559 nucleotides) under uncultured soil bacterium. RNAcentral describes it as "bacterial SSU rRNA". It matches the Rfam family "Bacterial small subunit ribosomal RNA", at positions 219 to 770 of the family's 1533-position model. The record is from RNAcentral.
CGAUGGAUGAGCCNAAGUCGGAUUAGCUAGUUGGUAGGGUAACGGCCUACCAAGGCGACGAUCCGUAGCUGGUCUGAGAGGAUGACCAGCCACACUGGGACUGAGACACGGCCCAGACUCCUACGGGAGGCAGCAGUGGGGAAUAUUGCACAAUGGGGGCAACCCUGAUCCAGCCACGCCGCGUGUGUGAAGAAGGCCUGCGGGUUGUAAAGCACUUUUAGUGGGGAUGAAAAGCGCAUCGCUAACACUGGUGUGUCUUGACCUAACCCAAAGAAAAAGCACCGGCUAACUCUGUGCCAGCAGCCGCGGUAAUACAGAGGGUGCGAGCGUUAAUCGGAAUUACUGGGCGUAAAGCGUGCGUAGACGGUUAUUUAAGUCGGGUGUGAAAGCCCCGGGCUCAACCUGGGAAUUGCAUUCGAGACUGAAUAGCUAGGGUGCGGUAGAGGGAAGCGGAAUUUCCGGUGUAGCGGUGAAAUGCGUAGAUAUCGGAAGGAACAUCAGUGGCGAAAGCGGCCUCCUGGACCAGCACCGACGUUCAGGCACGAAAGCGUGGGGAGCA